GACGAACGCUGGCGGCGUGCUUAACACAUGCAAGUCGAACGGUAAGGCCCUUCGGGGUACACGAGUGGCGAACGGGUGAGUAACACGUGGGUGAUCUGCCCUGCACUUCGGGAUAAGCCUGGGAAACUGGGUCUAAUACCGGAUAGGACCACUGCCUGCAUGGGUGGUGGUGGAAAGCUUUUGCGGUGUGGGAUGGGCCCGCGGCCUAUCAGCUUGUUGGUGGGGUGAUGGCCUACCAAGGCGACGACGGGUAGCCGGCCUGAGAGGGUGACCGGACAGACUGGGACUGAGAUACGGCCCAGACUCCUACGGGAGGCAGCAGUGGGGAAUAUUGCACAAUGGGCGCAAGCCUGAUGCAGCGACGCCGCGUGAGGGAUGACGGCCUUCGGGUUGUAAACCUCUUUCAGCACCGACGAAGCGCAAGUGACGGUAGGUGCAGAAGAAGGACCGGCAAACUACGUGCCAGCCGCCGCGGUAA
RNAcentral lists this ribosomal RNA (478 nucleotides) under uncultured bacterium. Its description in RNAcentral is "partial 16S ribosomal RNA". It matches the Rfam family "Bacterial small subunit ribosomal RNA", at positions 28 to 523 of the family's 1533-position model. The record is from RNAcentral.